UGUACAAAUAACAAGGUCAUACACAGCCAUCUUCUAACCGUGUACAUACUGGGAACUAUUCUCAGAAGGUGAAGCCCUGCUGCUUGGGCGGAAGGAUUAUUACUCCAACUCUGAGCGAACUCAAGGCAAACUCUCUGCUCCUCACCAAGGGGCUUCUAAGUUGCUGCAAGUAAAUCACUCUGCCCAAGA
Long non-coding RNA from Etheostoma cragini (Arkansas darter), 189 nucleotides. RefSeq lists it as uncharacterized. The record is from RefSeq and is a predicted model, not a curated record. The transcript is spliced from 3 exons. Lineage: Eukaryota; Metazoa; Chordata; Actinopteri; Perciformes; Percidae.